Molecule: small nucleolar RNA, 145 nt
Organism: Bubalus bubalis (water buffalo)
Lineage: Eukaryota; Metazoa; Chordata; Mammalia; Artiodactyla; Bovidae
Product: small nucleolar RNA SNORA31
Exons: 1
Source: RefSeq, a predicted model, not a curated record
ACAUGUUUAUCAAGUAGCAACUGGAAGAUGAGAAAGCACUAUCCAAUAGGAAAUAUCAAAAGAAAGAGGGUAAUAGAUGUAAGAAAAGUGUCCUCAUGCUUUCUGUCUGUCUUUGGCAGCCCAGAUUGAAUGGGGGAAUACAGGG